UAUGGUAAUGCCAGCCGCCGCGGUAAUACGUAGGGGGCAAGCGUUAUCCGGAUUUACUGGGUGUAAAGGGAGCGUAGACGGCAAGGCAAGUCUGAUGUGAAAACCCAGGGCUUAACCCUGGGACUGCAUUGGAAACUGUCUGGCUCGAGUGCCGGAGAGGUAAGCGGAAUUCCUAGUGUAGCGGUGAAAUGCGUAGAUAUUAGGAAGAACACCAGUGGCGAAGGCGGCUUACUGGACGGUAACUGACGUUGAGGCUCGAAAGCGUGGGGAGCAAACAGG
Molecule: ribosomal RNA, 279 nt
Filed under: Fusicatenibacter saccharivorans
Lineage: Bacteria; Bacillati; Bacillota; Clostridia; Lachnospirales; Lachnospiraceae
Description: partial 16S ribosomal RNA
Rfam family: Bacterial small subunit ribosomal RNA
Source: RNAcentral